AAGCAAUUGGUUGAUAGCUGUUCACCUUUUUAUCUAUUUUUUUUAUUGUGAUUUGUAUGGUUGCUAUUGCCUCUCUUUUGUUUCCCGUUUGUUCCACUUGUUAUGCGCUUCUACCUUUGCUCCACCUCUACUUCAUUGUUAUUUGUAUUUGUUGCUAUUGCCUCUCUGUGGUUUCCAAUUUGUUCCACUGGUUAUGCACUUCUGUUUUUGCUCCAUCUCCACCUCGUUCCCUUUUCUUGGCCGCCAUGAUUAACUUUCGCCACCUUCAUUCAAUCUAAGCCAUUGACAAUGUGCUUUACUGCCUUCCUUUCUCAACUUCCACUCCCCUUGCAAGGGUGUUAUUUCACCUCCUUUCCUAUGCAGUAUUCCUCCACACUGCCCCCAACCCCACUACCUCCUCUUAAGCCCCACUACCCUUCGCUCCAUCAAUGCCACUCGCUCCUUCACACAAUCCAUUAGGUUACCACCACUAUAGUGCUAGACUUCUUGCAGUAAAGGUUCGCAGGACUAGUACCAAGGUUGUAUUUUCUGGUGACCUAUUGGAUAUGGUACCUAUACAUGCCAUACCAAUCUAAGGUGUAUUGAACCAAGUAGAGAGAGAGGAAGAGGGGGAAGGGAGAA
RNAcentral lists this long non-coding RNA (621 nucleotides) under Elaeis guineensis (African oil palm). Its description in RNAcentral is "long non-coding RNA (EGUI_LNC074134)". Lineage: Eukaryota; Viridiplantae; Streptophyta; Magnoliopsida; Arecales; Arecaceae. The record is from RNAcentral.